UUUUGUUUUCUAUUUUUAUAUUCUUAUCUGAAAUGCAUUCCAUGCAGUAGUUGAACUUCCCGCUGUUUUCACCUUAAACUUCUAUUACGUAUUUUUGUUCAACCUCCCUCACAAGAAUUUUUGAAUUUUCUCGGGCCGACCACUUGAACUUCUAGCAAAAAAUUAGACUUUGCCUUUUUUUUCUCAUACGGAAUGCACACCAUGAAGUACAUGAACUUCUGGCUACUAUCAAUUUGAACUUCUCUCUAUUUCGCUUUAGUAACGAAAAAAGUAGAGUUUUUGUUAGACAAUGAACCACUCUAACUUUCUUACUUUAACUUCUUUGUGUAUUUUUUAGAAAUGUGAAAAUUAUAGUUUUGUUAGAAACAUUGAACUUCUUCGUUACUUUGAAUUGAAAUUAUUGUUUUUUUUUCUUUAGUAAUCAGAAAAAACUGAGUAUUUGAAUAAAUAUCAAACUGCUAUGCUUUUUCCAAUUGAAUUUCUUCGUUAUUUUGAAUUGAACUUAUUUGUUUUAUUCUUUAGUAACCAGAAAAAUCCGAGUUUUCAAAUAUAAUAUCAAACUACUACUUUUUUUUGAACUUCUUGUCCCAUUUUUUAAUAAUGAGGAAAUCUGAAUUUUGUAUAACCAUCGACCUCAUCCUCUUUUUUAUUUUGGACUUCUUAGUUUUAUUUCUUUUAGUGAUGGAAAAAAUCCUAGUUUUUAAAUAAACAUCGAGCCACUCUGUUUUUUUAAUUUGAAAUUCAAGGUUUUUUGUGGAAAUGAAAAAAAUCUAUUUUUGAUUAAUAGUGAACUUGUGUAUUUUUAAAUUUUGGACUUUCUUGGUAUUUCAAUUUGAACUUCUUAGUUUUUAGUUUUUUAGAAACAAUUUUUUUAAUAAACUUCGAAUCACGUCGUCGUUUCAAUUUGAACUUCUUGUUUGAUUUUUUUAAUUGAGGGGUGGGGUUGGUUAUUUUGUUUUUGUAAAGUUGUGUUGUUUUUUUUGUAAACUUUUCAAUUGUUUAUUUUUGUUAAAGUCGUUUUUGCUUUUUUAUAUAUUAACUUCCAAGAGUUGAUUUUGUUGCUUUUUCCAAAAAAAAUCGCAUCAAGGAUAUAUAAGAAUAGUUUUUUGCAUGCACAUAUGAUCGUUCUGUAGAUAAUAUACAUGAAGGAUGCGAUGUGUGAAAUUUUACCAAAAUUGAACGAGCAUAUGAAGUCGUUGGUGUACGCCCCAAGCCCUCUAUGGAACAAUGCAAAAUUUUGCAAUGUUUUUUUUUGCUAGGGAAGCAAGCAAUAGUCGUAGUAUUGAAGUAUAAGCUUCUCCCAUAUUAGUGUUUGUUCCAAAAUGAACAUUUUGAACAACGCACAACACGCAUUAUGAACUUCUCCUCAACCAUCUUUUUGUUCAUUUUUUAUUUUUGUUUUUACAGUACACAAACGGUGUCCCAACUCAUAUAUUUUUUCAAGUGACAAAUUGUUAUUUUUGGAAAGAACCACAUUGAGCUAUGAAUAUGUCUGAUCGAAAAUUCAGGUUUGGGAAGCAAGUUGUGUGUGUUGGGCAACAAGGGAUACAUAAUUCUGAACCGAAAGUGUUUGUUUUGCUUCAGGCAAUAUUUCUUUCAGAUUUAGUAUAAAGAUUCAGUAAGGAUUCAUGGAAUUAGCAAUAUUAAAGCAAGAAUACCCAACAUCGCUUGUGUAGAUUCAGCCAACGAAAACCAUACAUGUGGGACUUGAACUACCGUAGAUGAAUGACAAUAGUAGAACAUAUUUAAAUUCUUGGCAUGGAAGGUCAACUUUGUUCUGCUCUCCAGAGCGUGACGCUAGCCAACACACGUCCAGCAAGCCCAUAAGCACACAUGUCUAGUAUCCAGCAACAGCAAGGAAUGCAAACCACCGCGAAGAAAAGUGCAUAGCUGUAGUAGGACUUUGGCGUAUAGUUGUUGUAGAACUUCAUGCAACGUCUAUGAACAUCCGAAUGGUUGUAAAGGGGAAAAUGAGAAAUUUUCCUGUAAAUUAGACACACACAUGCACACCCCUGCAGUUUUAUCAAGAUUGUUAAAUCCAGUUAGCACAUUUUCACAUGAGCAACACAUCCACAUGUAGGAGCACGUCUGAUGUACCUGAGAACUCAUAUAUAUGCACCUACAGGAAGAGCAUCAAGUCUCAUAUACGGUUAAACAUUUUUUCUAUAUUCUUUGGUGCACCUGAACCUUUGCAACAUUUUUACAUAAACUUCUUGUUUUAUGGGAGAGAGAGCACUUAGCCGGAGAGGGUUCACCGUUUCUAAUGCCAGAAGAGGUCAUCGGUAGGGGAGGCAGUGUAGAAAAAAUCUUUGUGGUGUCCCGCAGCCGGUGUAGAGCCGAGUAGCACGCAGCCGGUGUCCUGCGAAGGAUCUACACGAGCGAGCAGGCGAGGAGGCACUGCACGCGGAGACGAGGUUGGACUACACGACGGUCGGUAUUGGACGGUGCAUGGGCCGCCUCGGCGCUCGAAGCUGCACUAGACAAAGCCCAGGAGGACGAGCGUCAUGCAGGACUGGUGCAACAACGUGGAUUGGGGCCGACAGGACGCUGGUGGCUGGCGGUGGAGACCAGGAGGCCGGACAAGAUGGCGUUGAGCCACUGGCGGCGUUAGUGCGGAGAAGACAUAGUGUUGCGAAGCAGAGGCCACUGUAGGGAGUGUGGACAGGGGAUUGGGAGAGUGGGGCUCACCGGCCCUAGGCGGAUCCGCGCGCGUCGAUGGUCGUGGUUACCGGAUCCUCGCCGGCGCCACACGAAGGUAGCGGUGGUUACCGGAUCCUCGGUGGCGGCUUGCGGGGCAGGCGGUGGUGGCUGGAUCCGAGGUGGUGGCGAGUUGGAUAGCUGGCGACGGCGUCUCUUGUUGGGGACAGGGCGGCGACGACGGAAGCGGUCGGUGGCGGGGCGGCGGCGGCGACGGUCGGUGGCGGGGUGGUGUUGGCGACGGGCGGUGGCGGGGCCACGAGGGCGUCUCCGGUUAGGGGCGGGAUGGUGGCGCCUCGCCAGUUGGGGGUGGGUGCCUGGGUGGUGCAGGGGAUCGGGGAUCGGGGAUGGGGUGGUAGUUUUAGAAUCGGCCUUUUCUUUUUGUUUCAGCGAUUUUCGGAGGAACCCUGCCGGGCCUUUAUAGGAAGUUGUGAUUCAAAUAACUAUUCUAAUCAUAGGAUUAGAAUAGUGCUAUUAUAUAUAUAUAUAUAUAUAUAUAUAUAUAUAUAUAUAUAUAUAUAACUAUGCAUACUGUUCCGAAGUUCAAUGUUCAGUUUACAAGCAGUGCACCAAAUGUUUAUGCAUCAGUUAUAGGAAAAAAGAUUAAAAAACCUAUGCAUAACAGAUGCAUCAGUGCUGAACAUGUCCAUUCACCAGUUCGACUGAAACUAUAUCAGAUACAAAAUAGACAACAAAGUUUAAUAACGCCUAGCGAUGCAAGUUCAACUUGUACAUUACCUUCAGUGCAUGACAUGUUACCCAUAUCAUGUAUAUGAGAAAAUGCAGAAAAGAUUAAUCCCAAAACUAUUGAAUGUCAUUCCAGAAACAUGCAAGGUGGCACACGUAGGGAGGGUUUGAUGAGCCAAGAAGAUAUGAGGCACCGUCUGGCUGGGUAACACCAGAAAUAGCACCUGGAUACUUCAACAAUACAUGCAGAUUUCAAGCUACACCAGAAUCAUGAGAAGCACGGACUGGUUCUUCUAUGCAGCAGACACCGAUAUCUAGGAAUACAAGCUUUGCCACUGCUGGGGUGCAACAAGGUCAACAAUGUCCCCAACAACAAAUAUUUUCCUUUCCUAGCGCAAGCAGAAAGGCAAGGACACUCAGGCUUCCACCCGUCACUCCAUCAACAUCAAUCAUCUGUGCUACAAAAGCGGUUGCGACGGGAAGACGAGGCCAAAGAGACAGGAAUGUUUGCCACUCUAGCAGGGUGCAAAGUAGAAGAUAUGAGCCAUAUAGAUAGGAGCAACCUGCUAGUGAAUCUCAGGGAAGACGACCGUACAAUGAGAGACGGAGAGCUUCAUCAACAUUGCUGCAUGUGCCGAGGGUGACACCACCCGCGCCCAUACACCAGGGUGAACAGCAAACACCGGAUGUAGCGCGGAGCUAUGCACAUGUAAGUAUCCAUUCAGAAAAAACAUACAACCACAGUCCAUACCCUAGUACUGUGACCACCCCAUCUAACAUUUUCAUCACUGUGUUUUUGUUUGCUCACUGUUGUGUGCAGCCACCUAACAUUGAAGCUUACGUUCUGCCAAGGCUAGAGAUGCCCUUUGAAACUUUCAAAGAAGCAAAGAACUUCUACAACGUCUAUGCAAAGCACGCGGGUUUUGCUGUCAGAGAAGACUCCAAGGUUAACACCAAGUCUACCUUUAUUGCACGUGCUAUGGAGUCUAUGAAUUGAAGGUGUCAGAAGCAAAUAGAUAGCGGAACAAGACCACAGCCAGGACUAAUUGCGGGGCUAAAAUGAGGCUGAAGAGGGAAAAUGAUGGAACACUUGUCGUAAAAGAGAUAAUCUGGGAACACAACCACAGGCUACAUCUCUCCCCCAAAUGCUUGUCUUCUUGCACUCCCACAAAAACUUUGACAAAACAAUCUUGGAGUACAUCAAGUACCCGUGGUUCAAAGGCACUGAACACGCGUAAAUCAUGAGCAUACUGCGCGGUGAUGACCCCGGUAGCUACUUCCCCGAAAUGAAUGCCAAAGACCUGAUUAACAUGUAAGUACAAACUUGUUCUCCUCCCAUAAACCCCCUCCAUCUUUUUUCCUCUGUCAGUACAAACAUAUUACGCAACACAUGACCUAAUGCCAGUUCAACAUGCAUUUUUGAAUGACUGUUCACUUUUAAUAUGCAAGAAAGCAAAGAAUUCAAGGAUGGAUGAUGUGGACGAUGUCCUAAACACUGUCAACUUAUUUAGGGAGAUGAAAGCGAUAAACAAGGAAUUCUUCUGCGACAUACAACUUGAUGAGUCCGACAGAGUGAAGAACAUAUUCUGGGCGAACGCAGGCUGCCGAGGGGCAUAUCAAGACUUUGGUGACUGCGUAACGUUUGAAACCACAUAUAAGACCAACAAGUACCAUAUGCCACUUGGGGUGUUUGUGGGUACUAACAACCACUUACAGACUAUAUUCUUUGCUUUCGCCCUGAUAAUAGAUGAGGAUGCAGAUUCAUUCACAUGGUUGUUCAAAAGCAUUUUGAAGGUGCAUGAGAGGGAAGGCUCCUUCAUGCAUCCUCACAGGUACAAACGCCACCCCCAAAGGAAAAUAACAUAGUAAAAUUAUUGUGUCGGUUCUAUUUGUAUAUAUGCACUACCAUCCGCUGACCACUCCACGUCUCUUUUCUCAUUACCAGACCAGUGCCCGGCAAUGGCUUUGGCGAUCCCAGAUGCUUUCGGGGACACAGUACAUAAGCUAUGCCGCUGGCACAUUAUGAAGAAGUACAGGGAACACCUCGCAUACCUAUACAACCUCCACGAAGAGUUUAACGAUGAAUUCACAGCAAUCCUCAACUAGCCCCUCAUGCCAACUGAGUUUGAGGCUGCCUGGAAAGCACUCAUAGAUAAGUACAACCUCCAUGAUGAUGCCACAACGGUGGCAAUGUGGAACGAGCACGAGAAAUAGAUAUCAUCUUACUUCAAAGAAAUUUUCUGUGCCAAAAUGACGUCCACACAAAGGAGUGAGAGCAUGAACUAUGUGCUCAAGAAGAACUUCAUAAGUGAGAGACAAAACCUGCACCGGUUCGUCAGCCAAGUAAACUCCUGCGUCAAAACCAGGAGGCAGACAGAGAACUAGGAGACAAUAGGUAACCGGGUAUAGCUCUAUCACCUGUCGUAAGACAAAAUAACGUGCUUACUAAAGUAAAUCUUUCUUAGUUAGACAAGUUUUUGCUGUGAGAAAAUUAAUAAUUUGUUCAUGACUCUUGCUUGCACAGAAGGAACAAAACACGCUGACCUUCUAUGGGUUUGACAAUCAGAUGGCAAAGCUUUACUCAUGAGCUGUGUACAGCGAGAUCAGAAAAAGGCUAAAACUAAGCACCCUCUUCACGGUGACAGAGACGGAAGAGCCCAGAAAGUACCUUGUGCACUACAACAAACCACAAAAACUGUUUGCGUGGUCUCAGCACGCGUUCCAGGUGGUUGCAGACCCCAUGGGAGAAAUAUUUGACUGCAAGUGCAAGCUGUGGGACCACAAAGGCGAGGUCUAAAAAAGAUGUUACAUACUGUAGUACUUAUUUUUGCAAAGUUUUUGUUCGAAUGAAAUGACAGAAAACAUGCACCUCUUUCAAAAAAUAGGUAUUUUCUGCCUGCAUGUCCUAUGCAUGAUGCAUAUAAUUAAGGCUGACCGUGUUCCAGAGAAAUACAUCCUCAGGAGAUACACCAAACACCCGAACAUCCAGCCAACAUUCAACAGAAAUGACUUGAGGACAGUAGCGUCAAACAAGGCCUCCCAAUACGGCAUUGAAAGCGCACCGCUGUAGCUGAACAUGUGGGUGCACAGAAAAAGCUUGAGAAGCCAUGAGAAAAUGGCGAGGUCACAUGUCAUCAUGGAAAGACUUGACCAAGAACUCGACGCCAUGCAUUCUGCUGAAAAUGACAAUGUCGCGGACAACGAAGCCAUUGAGCAGGAUAUUGCUACAAUCUUAUCUGAGAUGAACCAUCUGGGAGCUAUUGACCCAUACGACAACGAGGAAGAGGAGCAACAGCAACCAGAGCUUGCCCAUGUGCACACUCAAGAGCAACAACAUGCUCACGUGCAAGAUCAUGAGCUUGACGGUGCUGUAGGCGAACGACAUGAAAACAGGACAUCCUACCAGCAGCAGCAGGAAAGGGUAAUUAAACCACCCAUAUUCUCAAACACAAGGGGGGGGAUAAUAAGACGCAAGCAGCGAAAGCAGCAAAAGCAGCAGCCAAAAAGCCGCCACGCCCCAUCAGACGCGUGGAAUUCGGCCCGGAUGGCAAACCUCUCGGGAUAAGGGCAUGCGGAUUCGGCAACAUGGUGACCAAUCAUAAUUACCACACAUGCCCAUAGCACACAUAUGCCACUAUCAACAAGCAAAAGCUGUAGAAGUAGAUUGGAGCCGCCCAGGUUUCUACCAAUGGAGACGACUCACGUAACAGCUACACUUGCAACAAGUGUGGGGGGACCGACGGACAUAAUGCCCGCACAUGCAAAGUGGGCAAGGAGGUCAGUGGCGCUGAACAGAAAUAGGGCAAGGUCCAAAGUUCCAAGAAAUCAAAAGAAGAGGAUGAGGAAGAAGAGUUUGACAAGAAUGGCGACCAAUCAGAUGAAGACAAUGAAGAUGACAGUAUUGGGGACGAGGAAAAUGAAACUGACGAUGAAGCUGCCAAGGCUCAAGCAGGAAAGGACGCCAACAAGGGACAACAUUCGGGGCCAGUUAGAAGGAGCUCAAGAUUGAAGAAUCCAUAGUGGUUAUGCUGCUGCAUCAACUCAAAAAUAAGCUUGUACUCUUGGUUGCCUCGGUACACAAUGAGGAAUCAUAUCAGAAACACUGUCGUUACCAAAACUUAUUUAGCUUUAUCAUCGAUUUCUCGAUCAGUACUAUAGUUAAGAUAUAAUUUGUGAUUUGUGCCCGCUGGACCAGUGACAUUAUUACAUAAACCAUUUGAUAAACCUUUUGAAUGCAGUCACAAAUAUAUUUGAAAAAAUUGAUCUGGAUUUAUGUAACGUCAACACUACUAUCGACCAGUAACUCAGCAAAAAUUUGUUAAAGAAAAUUUAAACUCUUAUUGUAGAUCAGUAUUUGAAAACAAUCAGUACAAUUUGAGUUGCUUAACAACGCUUCAAAAGUUGAAGCAAAAAAUCUUAGUACUUCAUGUACUGUUCUCAUCCAUAUGUAGCUGCUAGAAAAUUAACAAGUACUACAACUGAAAAAGUUAAGAAGCAUCAGCACACACUUAUAUUGGUCACUUGCAGACUAAGAAUGAUAGUACUAGUACACUUGAACGGAUAGUACAUAUUUACUACAAUAAAAAGUACAAAGAAGCAUUAGUUCGCAAUCCCUCAAAGAAAUAAAUGUCAGACUAAGCACAUAAGUGCUACUAUGAAUGAACUCUCAGUACAACUUAGUUUACAUGCAAGUACUAUAGUGCUAAAAAUGAUACCAGAAGACCCUUGAGAAUAAUCACAAAAACAAACACAAAAAGAAGGCAAAAACUCAAUGGAAAGAUAACACUUCCACAAAACUCACAAGAACUACAACAAAAAGUAUCAGUCCACAUUACUGGUGGAGUCAAGUAUUAGAUUCAAACCCAAAAAAAAUUAAAAAUUGACAGCCCGAAGACAGGCAAGCCCUGACACAGCUAGAUACUUGAACUCGAGCCCACGACGGAACCGUUGGCGAAUCCCUAGUAAUCGGCACAACACAGGGCCAACCAACCAGGGCACACGGGUCAUGAGAGGGAGCGAGCGUCGUGUAUAAGUGCUCAGGUAAGUAUCCAGAGGAGUUCGACCAGUAAGACUCGACAGCGCUUAUAAACAGGUCGAGAGCCCCCUCGCUUAGCGAGGUGGGACUAAACCCAGAGCACACGCACAUCCAACAGUCCUCAAAUCGCCCGCGCGGGCCAUUUGGGCCAAAAAGGGCCCAAUAGCCUCCAUCUUCUCCAAACACCCCACCCAUAAGGCCAAUUGAAUAAAGCAGAGCGCGAGGCAAAGAAAUAUAAACUACAAAAAAAAUGUUCGAAAACUGGAAAUAAAAAAGUUCAAAUACUUGUUCGCAGGAAAUAACUUUAAAUACAAAAAUAAAAAUAAUUUUAGCUCUGCACCAUAGAUGAUAAAAAUGGAAAAAAUAUGAUAUAAAAACAACAAAACUUUGAAAAGUGGAGAACUUAAUAGGCUAUAUGUUAAAUGUACAUAAUUUAAACCAGCGAAUUAAAUAUUACUUUCAAGUUCAACUACUAAAAUGCAAGAAGUUCAAAUAGAUAUUGUUUGUCAAUUAUGCUAAAUUUCUUAUUUAUAUAAAAUCUGACUAGAGCUCAACUAACGAUUUCGUCGUAAAUAAUCUACAUCCCAAAAAAACUCAGUUCAAACAUACAUACGACAUCAGUACUACAAAACCAGGAAGGGUCAGGCCACUCACCUUACAUCCACACACCAUUGUGACACCAAUUUUCAAAACCUUACGCUAUAUGAAAUUACAAUUCAGUACCCACAGCACUAAACCAUAAGUACACUAAAAAGAGAGUACAAAAACUAUAAAGGCCUAACUUAGGUUGGGACAGAUGAAAAUAAAAUAAGUCCUAGUUUUGAGGAAUAGCUCACAGUGCAGUAAAAAAAGUUUUGAUAUCAACUAGUGUAUAAGACUACAGUGCAAAAAUAAGACUUAUCCUCCACACUAAAAACAUAACAAAGUAUAUGUCACUUAAACAAUACAAAAUGCCAUCAUCACUGACCCUGAGACAUGCAAGUGGGAUAAACACCUGAUAAGUAUAGCUUAACAAGACGGAUCAGUGCGACAGUAAAAAACCCUUGGCUUGGACGGUUGGUUCUUCCAGGCCACCACCCGCGCCACCCACUGGGCGGUUGCCACGACGGACUACAAUGGUGACCCCACGACCAGUACCCCCAUGACCGGGAAGAACCGCCUCCCCCACGUCCCAAACCACGCCCUCCAAAAGCCCCAAAUCGACUCCAUCCCUGCCACAUCUCUAAAAACCACCAUUGCCGCUUCGAUCUCCACUACAAACAACCCACAAACAUCUCUGUUCCGAGCCCACAGUCGCCAGGAGGGCAAUGGCAGAGGAACCAUCUGCCAAGCGUCAUCGUGGCGAGACGUCCGACCAGAGCAGCAACCUCGACGAUGUUCAUGUCCCCGACAAGAAGCGCGAGUACACCCGAACCCACACAGGGGUUGAGCUCCACGGCAAGGAGACACUGGAGAUUGUCUGCACCAGUGAACCAGACAAGGCUGACGAGAUGAUGAGCAGGCUCAGGAUGAAGCGCGACGGCUUGUAUCCUAGCUUCAUCGGAGUUGAUGUGGAGUUUACCAAAAAAGAUGAACCUCCCCAGAUGGCAGCAGUCCUGCAGUUAUGCGUGGAGGAACUCUGCUUGGUGUACCACAUUGCAGCAGCCACAAAAUGGUGAUCCAUACUACUCUUCAUUCAUAUGUUUUAUUAGUACUACUCCCUAAAAAUUUCAUUAAACUUGUUUCCCAACUAGAUGAACUACUGUAGUUUGUGAACUGGAUGCACGAGUACAUGUUUCUCAAGUAGAUGCGCUAUAAUAUAAUUUGAAACUGAUGCACUGGAUUAGCAUCUGAAAUUGUUUCACCAGAUUAAUUUCUGAACUUGAUGUACUAGCAUAGUUUCUAAUCUUGAUGCACUAGUGUAGUUUAUAUAGUUGAUCUAUUAAAAGAUGUUUCUAAACUUGAUGUACAGAAGUAUUUUCUGAACCUGGUCUGAUGUUAUUUUCAGCAGCAAAAAGUAAAGUAAGAAUUUGGUCAAGCACUGGUAUAGGUCUUUUAUUCAACAAAAAGAAAACUAAAAUUGAAGUAAGCAGCACAUAGAUCAUUUACUCUGGUUAUAGGUUCUUGAAAUUGGUGAAGCAUUUGGUGAAGCACUGAAGAUACCAAAAAAGAAAAAUAACAUGAUGUACUUGAAUUUAAUUUCAAAACUUUGUGUACUAGUUUCUGAACUACAUUCAUCCAUGACUUAUACUAUAUAAGCAUCUACCUCAUGGAUUAUCACUUGUAAACCAAAAAACAGAAGGAUUAAAUCUUCAAAAAAGAACACUAAUCUUCAAUAUGUGUCUCCCCCUUGCAGGCCCAAGUGCCUCAAAGAAUUCCUGCAGGAGCAGAAAUUGUACACAUUUGCCGAUUUCAGCAUUGAAGGUGACAAAAGAGAAGUUGAAGAUGUCUGGUUUGGAGAUCAACCCCAAGAACUUCACCGACAUUCAGCGCAACUGGAGAGUUCUACGCAUCGGAAAAGAGUACGACUCCUUGGCUGAUGUUGCAGCCAGUGUCAUCCACCCAUUCUACAAAAGCAUGAAGAAGAAGAUAGAUAAGGAGGAAGACCACAAACUGUGGGGGAUCAGCCCGCUCCCAUACAAGCUCAUCGAGUACACAGGAAUAGAUGUGUACGCCACAUACAAGUCAUGGAAGAUAAUUGACAACAUCAUAACAGGUUGGGAAAUUUCAAAAGAGGAGGAGGCUGACCCAUACUACCACUGCCACUACGCGAUAUGAAGAGACAUCAAAGUCUGCCUUCGUGUUGCUUGCGCUUAUGCUUGUCCUUUAACUUGUUGUUUCAAAUUUGUAGUUUGCUUUUGUUAGGUUGAGCCAGCUUUCUUAUGCCAUGUGUGUCAGGGUUGAACAAGUUUGCUUAUGUAAUCAAGUACAUCGUUCGCUUGUGUCAUUGAACAAGUUUGAUAGCUUUCUAUUUUGUUUAUCCAUCAUUUGAAGUUGAAGUAAGUUGUGAAUGAAACUUUGUGGCUGCUAUGCAACACUAGUCAUGGAGCAACAAAUCACAGAUGGAUAUUUUCACAAAAUAGUGGCAGACUAAAAACAAUAACAAAUAGUAGCCUUGGACGCUCAGUACAACUUUGUCCUAUAUUGUAGUACUAUCACACUAAAAAUUAGUUUUUAGUUUCAGAAGAACACUAAAAAUACUAAGUUGCAGCCGAGGACAACAUUCAGUACUAAUAGCAUCAUGCUUAUAGUCAUUAGAAAAUUACUAAGUACUACAACAGGAAAAACCAAGAACCAUCAGUACGUAUUUCAUAGUCACUAGCAUACUAGGUGUGAAAGUACUGGUACACUUGAACACAUAGUACAUCCAUUCUACAAAAAUAAAAAGGAACGGGAAGUGUCAGUUCGCAUUCCCUAAAACAGUGACACACUAAGAAUAAUAGUGCUAGUACAAUUGAAAUCUCAGUACAACCUAGUUUAUACGACAAGUACUAUGAUGAUACCAAAUAAUGCCUUGAGAAUAACCACAGCCUAGAAAAAAGAAGGCCAAAACUAAAUCAAAAAGAUGUCAGUUCGACCAAGGAGAAAAAACACAAGAACCACAACAGAAGCACCAGUCCAAAUUGACCAAUGAGGUACUAGUUUCAAACAAUACAAAACAAAAUGAUCAUGGUGCUAGUACAAUUGAAAUCUCAGUACAACUUAGUUUAUAUGGUAAGUGCUAUGAUGAUACCAAAUAAUGCCUUGAAAAAGAAGGCCAAGACUCAAUCAAAAAGAUUACAGUUCAAUCAAGGACAAAAAAUCACAAGAACAAACAACAGAAGCAUCAGUCCACAUUAACCAGUGAGGUACUAGUUUCAAACAACCAAAAAAAUGAUGACCACCCAUGGACAGGCCAACCAUGCACAGGAGGAUACACUUGGACUCAAGCCCAUGACGGAACCAUUGGCGAAUCCAUAGUAAUCGAGACUAUGCGGGCCAGCCGUCAAGGGCCAACAGGUCAUGGAAUAGAGAGCGAGCGCCGUGUAUAAGCGCCCAGGUUAGUAUAUAGAGGAGUUCAACAGGCAAGGAACAACAAUGCUUAUAAACCGGUCGAGAGCCCCCUCGGCUAGCGAGGUGGGACUAAACUUAGAGCACUUGCAUAGCCAGCAGUCCACAGUCAUGUGCACGGGCUAUUUGGGCAAAAAAAGGGCCCAAUACGACUACUACUCCCUCCUCUCCAAACUCUCCUCGCCCCACCCCAUAAGGCCCGCUGAAUAAACCAGAGCGCGUGCCAAAGAAAAUAUAAACUAGUACAAAAAAGUUCGAAAACUUAAUAUAGAAACGCUCAAAUACAUGUUUGCACGCAAAAUAAUUCUAAAUUCAAAUACAAAAAUAAAAUAAAUUUACCUCUUCAGCACAGAUAAAAGGAUUAAAAAUAUGCUACAAAAACAAAUAUACUUUGAAGUUCAACUAUAUAUGCUACAAAAAUAAUUAUGAACUUAAUAGGGCUAUCUGUUAAAUGUAGCUAAUUUAACCAGUGCUUUAACUUUUACUAUGAAGUUGAACUACUAGAAUGCAAGAAGUUCAAACAAAUAUUUGGCUCUCAAUUUUGCUAAAUUUCUUAUACAAGGAAGCAUCACUCCACUCAUGCUAGAUCCACAAAUACUAUUGUGACACCAAAUUUUAAAAGCCUUAUGUUGUAUGAAAUUACAAUUUGGUACUCACAGAACUAUACCAUAAGUACAAGAAAAGAGGGUACAUAAACUAUAAAGGUCCAACUUAGGUUGGGACCGAUGAAAAUAAAAUAAAUGUCACCUUUUCAGCAACAACUCGUAAUGCACUUGGAAAAAAGUGUUUUAGUUCAACUAGUAUAUAAGACUUCAGUGCAAAAAUAAAACUUAACCAAAACAAAUUCCCGAUAAAACAUACACAAGUGAAACAGCUGUUCAACCACAUUCUCAUCAUGGAAAAAAGUUUGUAAAACGUUGUGCCACACUUAAAAACAUCACAAAGUAUACCGGUUAUUACAUAGUUGACAAGACACCCAAACACUACAUACAAAGCCUACAAUGCUUUCAAGACAUAAAUCACACAAGUAUCCCAUUCACUAUGCAAAUGAUAACCAUUUGUUCUAUGCACCAGGAGCCAAAGCUUGAACCUCCUCGGGAAGCUUGUAGCACCCCAGCUUAGAGCAACCAGUUUACCUUGCAUUGCCAGCCUAGAGAUCAAGUCUUCUGGCAACACACAACAACUUGGUACAAAAAACAACCACUUUAUUGAUGCUAGCAGAAACAUAGGUUCAAUAUUACAUCAAGUAGCGAGGCCAAGCAGCACACACGGUGCGGCUGAACAAUAUGUACAUUAUUUAAUGAACAUGAAGGGGCCUCGAUCACGAUAACUACGCGACAGCGGAACGACGACGAAGCGGAACUCCAUAGCACAGGGACACCGAUGUGGACACGAUCUAGACACGGGAAGCACUUCGAUCCGGUAAGACUUUCCUGAAAUCUGGCAUGACACGCCAGGUCAGUACAUUGAAUGUACUUGCAAGCUCACAACAAGCAUAAGCAUAAUGGCAAACAAUAUCAUGACAAUUAAUCAAUUUAAAUGGAAUGCAAUAACAUACUACUAAUGUAGUGAAUAAAACUUGUGCACCGAGUCCCUCGGACUCUCUUACCAAACGGGUUACCUCGUAACCAAGAUCAUCAUACGGUGAUCACUCCCGGAUCACAGACGAACCAACACUUUGGUUCCGACGAUAACGACCAUCUUCAUGGUCUCACAAAUCCCGUCACAUAAUCAGUGCCAAGCAUAUAAGUUUAGUGUGCAAGAUUACUUAAUCAUGUUGAUCCAUGGUGUGAUCUACUUACGAGCUGUGUCCGUAACUGAGGAUGCGGCUAUCGAUAGAUUUAAUAAACACUCUGCGGAGGUAGUAGACUGGACCCACACUACGGAACCCAUGGCCGUGUCUCGUCUCUCUUCCGCAUGAGGCGUGCGAGCCGCGAGGUACCCCUCGAUGCUGGAAAGCCUCGUGGACCGCGGAGGAACGGAUGGGAUAUUCGGGGCUGACCCAGUUGAAACCCAGUGUGCCAAACGGCACUCUUGGGCUUUUAGGGGCUUUAAGCCUGACGGGGAAAUCCACUAAAAAACCCUGUGAUCGCAGUGUGCCAAACAAGGCCUCAUGCCUUGUUAGGCAGGAAGGGUUUUCAAGCCCCAAUGGGGCUGGGGAUUAUUGGGGAUUUGGUGAACCCCUCCCCGCACCAAAUCCCCUCAAAUCCACUUCCGCCUCCCAAGCCCCUUCCCCAUCUAUCCAUAUAUGAGUGUUUGGCAUGUAGGGACAAAUUUGGUCCAUUUUAAACAUGAACUUCAACAACACACUGGUAAAAAUCCGAUCUUUACUAUUGAACAGGCUGAAGCAUCAGUGGCCAUAUCAUCAAGUACUACUAAAAGCAACAAAUCAUAAUCUUUAAGAUCAAUGGCAUCUAAACUAAGAACAUCAAAGGCCAUACAACACGAUCAGAUCAUAGUUUAAACAUCAUAUGUCAAACACAGGCAUGCAUCAGCAUGUACCAACGACACCUAGGGUGCAACACAAACAUCACUUAAAUUCGGUUUCUGCUUCCCAGCAUAGUUUCAGUUUCGCAACGACAGGCAUGCAUCACUUCAGUUCCAUCGCAUCCCUGAAAGUAGCAACUCAAUCAAAACAUUAGACAUACCAGUCAAACAAUUCACAGCUACAAGAGUACUUCAAAUACUUUCUGAAGAAAGAAAAGUAACAGGGGGGAAAUAUGGCAUGGAGCCCGUUUCUUAUACUUCAUGAUCUAAAACAGAUGGACUCACUCUCCUUUGUCAAAAAGUAUAACAAAAUUUAUAUGUGAUGUACUUGAGCCAGAUUUAACUUGAUGCAAACAGAGAAAAGCAAGCUCUAGCAUCAGGUCACAUAGAUAUCUCACAUCGAGUACUAGCACUGGAAACUCACAACUAAAAAUUUAUACGUACAUACCAUAUAUACACUACAGAAGGUUGACAGAAACUCUUUGCAUAUACACUGCGGAUCAUAUAUAUGUACAGAUCAUAUCUAUGUACAUCUCAAAACUAAAAAUUUAUAUGUACAGAUCAUAUAUACAACUACAAAUUUUGAUUUAGUAUGAUUGUUCAGUACCAAAGUGUAUCUAUUUCUCUAACAAAAACACUACAAUUACUUUCUUGCUGAUUGCCCAACAUUAUGGUUUAGUUUCUUCCUACUAUUUGCCCUUUAUUCAAAUUAGUAUGCAUACAAAGCAUUCAUUCACAAGAAAAACAUGUUUGUUCCAAGCUAAUCAGGAAUAGGAGCUUAUGUAUAUUCUCAGUUCGGAGAUGAGAAAUUGAUUUCUAGCUAAUCAGGAAUAUGAGCUUAAGAACAAGACCAAGCAAGCAAGAACAUUAUGAACCAGAUCAAAAUACCUCUUCUAGGUAGGCAACUCAUCCAUUUCGCUCCGAAGCCACAUGACCGCACUCUCUUCUUGAAGUUUGAUGAACAUGUAAGAUAACAAAGAGCUCGCUAUUACAUUAUAACAAAGAGCAUCAUAAAUGUUUGUUCUAAGCUAAUCAGGAAUAAGAGCUUAAUUAUAUUCUCAGUUCAGACAUGUGCAUGCAUAUGCUCAGUUAGCAACCACAUAAAUAUACUACAACUAGUCAUCUCAGAUGAGAAAUUGAUUUCUAGCUCUUGUCUGCAUGUAUUUUACUCAUCUUAGCAAAUCACACCAGUAACAGUUAACUUCGACCAGUUUUGAAUUUCAUCAACAUCUAACACAGGACAAUGUAGAUAUAUUUUUAGCACAUAGUGCCAAAAUUAAUCAGAUUGAUGUUAUACCAAUGAAACUUAUGUGCAGCAAAAUGAUUCUCUACUCACAUUUCUGCACUACAUCCAAUUGUCAAUAUCUAAUACAAAAUGGUUGGCUGUAUUUUGUUACUUUGUUAUCAGAUAUGUACUAUAUGCUAAUAAUAAUGGGAUUUUUUUUACUAUGGAGUAUAAAAUCAGUACAGAAAGGUAGAGAUCCUACUUGAGCAUCUACAUGUAUAAUUUUAAGGCAUAGAUAAAUGACAUCAAAAAAGGGUUGGAGUUGUCUUGAAUAGUAGUCCAGAUCUUGCAGCAACUAACUUCAAAUAGGGGGAGGUGGAAUGUUAUGGGGAAGCAGGCAGAGGAACAACAGGGAGGGUCUCUCACAGCGGUUGUGCUGGAAAGGGGAGAGGAGCUGGUGGN
RNAcentral lists this long non-coding RNA (16622 nucleotides) under Triticum aestivum (bread wheat). RNAcentral's name for it is "long non-coding RNA (TAES_LNC019624)". Lineage: Eukaryota; Viridiplantae; Streptophyta; Magnoliopsida; Poales; Poaceae. The record is from RNAcentral.